Long non-coding RNA from Neofelis nebulosa (Clouded leopard), 1604 nucleotides. RefSeq lists it as uncharacterized. The transcript is spliced from 3 exons. NCBI's taxonomy places the organism in Eukaryota, Metazoa, Chordata, Mammalia, Carnivora, Felidae. The record is from RefSeq and is a predicted model, not a curated record.
AAUGCAGCUUCCAGGAGAACCAGCUCCAAAGUACUUAGGCCACACUCAGAGGAAGGGGAGGUUUGGGAAGAAAGCAGCAAGGAACCCUAGUGAAGGCCCUAGAGCCAAAGAGCCCAAGGAUGGGUCUUCUGAGGAGAAGAAUUGAAAGGUAAAUCACUCGCAGCCACGGAAACUCCGAGGGGCAACGUCCAGUCUCAUUCGGAGGAUGGAAAGUAAAAUAACGGCUUCCUGAAAGAAGAUGGAAAGACAAGACUUGAAAACAGAUGCCCUUAGAUAAGUUACAGCAGCAACAGGAAACUAACACAGCCUGGAAUCAUGGGACGUCCUCCUUCCUCACCCUGCGUGGACCUGGGACCGGCACUUCUGGUAGACCGCCAGAACUGCAGCUCAUUGUCACCCAGCAUGUAACUUGAGUUCAAGCAAACCCCACUCCCUUGUGUGUAUCUUCCAUUUAUACCCUUUCCAUAAGUGAAGGUUUGAAUGAGUUGGUUCAUCACUAUCCAAUAGGCAGGAUUCCUAUUGCACAGUCAUGCUAAUGGCACACACCUGGGGGUGUGGCUUCCCUCUUGUCCAAUCAGCUGUGUCCAGGGCAACAAGACUGCUGUCAAUCAACUCAAAGUGAGGAAAAUGUUACUGAGGAAAGAAUGGGUCUGGGCUAUUUGUGGGAGUCACUUGAGGACACCUCCCAGGUGACACAGAAGUUUAGAAAGCAGUCUUGAGGUUUUAAGAGAAGAAAGGCCCUUUCUGACCUCUUUACACAAACUUUAAUACGGCAGCUUGAAUUGUCAGAAGCUUUAGAGCUACAGACCUGGGGCUCCUUUCUAUGGGGUCCUUUGAUCCCGGCCCACUGUCCCCUAAUGCCAGCUCUGAUGGUAGUCCUCCGCAUGUCAAAGGGGACCAUUCCUCCUGCAUCACCCACCUUGACCUUGGACCUGCAGAUUGGUUUGAAGGAGGGCACAGUCUCACUGCUUGCCCAGAAGCAGUAUUUUUAGGAGUUUAAAGAAAAGAAAAAUCUGUUGAAGGCAAUUUCAGGUUCUAGGCUUUAUAAAAAGAGAUGCAGUGGAAAUCUGGAAAUCAGGAUGGCUUAAGAAGUCAAAGACAUUUGAAUUACUGCCUUUGGGACUGGAAGAAACCCAAACAAUUAGAGGUGUAAAGGCACAGGAUUCACGGCUUGAUAGGUGUUGAUAUAUCCCUCGAAACAGGUCUCCAGGCCCACUGGAGCCUGACCUCAUUUAAAACUGCUGGAAAAAUGCAUGUAAUAAGCUCAGUCUGAAGGCUCCCUGACAAUUCAGUUUGGAUCAAGGCUCUUUCCUAUAAGGGUUUGUUGUAUUUAUUACCAUUAUUUUUUAGUUAUUUAUGUUUUCCUGGUAUAAUAUGCUACCUUUUAAAAAACAAUUAAGAAUCUCAGACCAGACUAUCUAGAAAUAAACUGGUGCUUUUCUAUGGUGUUUGUUAAAAGGCAAGGAUUUUGUUUUUUACUCAUUAUUCCGUCUUGUUAUGGAUUUUCAAUGACUUGUCUCAAAAUUGUUCCUUCACCUUAACCUGAAUCCUCAAUUAAGUUUCCCAGUCACUACUAUUAAAUAAAAACCUUUAAAGUAUUUUAA